ACAUGGAUUAAUAUUCUACAGGCUAGAGCCUUAAAAGACACUGAGCUGAAAUGAAAACAAUUGAGAAAUCAACUUGACUACAGCUUCUGAGGCAAUUGCUACUAAGAGUUACUAGGUGGAAGGAGCACCUGAAGAUGAAAACCCCAGCUGCCCAUCAUCAUCAAAUCUGCUUGAGUGCUGCAGGAACUGAUGCCCAAACAUCAGAACAGAUAAGGAGGAUGAAACUCUUCACAUUCCACUUGUCUUUUAAUUGAAUGUGGCAACUGAAUGCAAGUCAGAUGAUCUUGGGGACACUACAGAUCUUUAUAUUCUACCUGGGGGAGGUGAAGCAGCCCUCUGUGUUUGGGAGAUGGAAGAACAGGCUCAUGAAGCCAUCAUAAGAGCGUCCACCAGAGAUACCAGUUCCAGGCUUCCACAAUGACAAGGGUGCCCAGCAGCACCAGCCAGACACAAACAACCACCUCAGCAUGGCGGGUCUACUGAGGAGAAAAGGCGAUCAGGACAGACCUCCAGCUGCCACAGAAUCAGGAACAAGAGGACUGGGAAGGAAGGGGUGCACAAACUUCAGUGCACAUUUGGUCCGACAAUAUGCCGCGCUCCUCCUUCAUGAAUGUUACAUCC
Peromyscus maniculatus bairdii (prairie deer mouse) is the source of this 621-nucleotide non-coding RNA. The record is from RefSeq and is a predicted model, not a curated record. NCBI's taxonomy places the organism in Eukaryota, Metazoa, Chordata, Mammalia, Rodentia, Cricetidae.